CUCGUAGGUGGUUGCGUAAGUCGGAUGUGAAAACUCAGGGCUCAACUCUGAGACGCCAUCCGAUACUGCGCUGACUUGAGUCCGGUAGAGGAGUGUGGAAUUCCUAGUGUAGCGGUGAAAUGCGCAGAUAUUAGGAGGAACACCAAUUGCGAAGGCAGCACUCUGGGCCGGUACUGACACUGAGGAGCGAAAGCGUGGGUAGCAAACAGGAUUAGAUACCCUGGUAGUCC
Molecule: ribosomal RNA, 230 nt
Filed under: uncultured bacterium
Lineage: Bacteria
Description: partial 16S ribosomal RNA
Rfam family: Bacterial small subunit ribosomal RNA
Source: RNAcentral